ACUCAGGGAUACUUAGUACGGCGAGUGAGCGGUAAAAGCUCAAAUUUGAAAUCUGGUACUUUCAGUGCCCGAGUUGUAAUUUGUAGAAUUUGUCUUUGAUUAGGUCCUUGUCUAUGUUCCUUGGAACAGGACGUCAUAGAGGGUGAGAAUCCCGUUUGGCGAGGAUACCUUUUCUCUGUAAGACUUUUUCGAAGAGUCGAGUUGUUUGGGAAUGCAGCUCAAAGUGGGUGGUAAAUUCCAUCUAAAGCUAAAUAUUGGCGAGAGACCGAUAGCGAACAAGUACAGUGAUGGAAAGAUGAAAAGAACUUUGAAAAGAGAGUGAAAAAGUACGUGAAAUUGUUGAAAGGGAAGGGCAUUUGAUCAGACAUGGUGUUUUUUGCAUGCACUCGCCUCUCGUGGGCUUGGGCCUCUCAAAAAUUUCACUGGGCCAACAUCAAUUCUGGCAGCAGGAUAAAUCAUUAAGAAUGUAGCUACUUCGGUAGUGUUAUAGCUUUUUGGAAUACUGUUAGCCGGGAUUGAGGACUGCGCUUCGGCAAGGAUGUUGGCAUAAUGGUUAAAUGCCGCCCGUCUUG
Molecule: ribosomal RNA, 572 nt
Filed under: Hanseniaspora uvarum
Lineage: Eukaryota; Fungi; Ascomycota; Saccharomycetes; Saccharomycodales; Saccharomycodaceae
Description: partial large subunit ribosomal RNA
Rfam family: Eukaryotic large subunit ribosomal RNA
Source: RNAcentral